This is a regulatory RNA element of Ruminococcus sp. CAG:382, 120 nucleotides long. It matches the Rfam family "FMN riboswitch aptamer (RFN element)". Rfam says of the family: The RFN element is a highly conserved domain that is found frequently in the 5'-untranslated regions of prokaryotic mRNAs that encode for flavin mononucleotide (FMN) biosynthesis and transport proteins. This element is a metabolite-dependent riboswitch that directly binds FMN in the absence of proteins. The record is from Rfam. Lineage: Bacteria; Bacillati; Bacillota; Clostridia; Eubacteriales; Oscillospiraceae.
AACAAGCUUCGGGGCAGGGUGCGAUUCCCUACCGGCAGUUAUAGUCUGCGACCGCCUUAAUGGCGCUGAACGGGUGUGAUUCCCGUACCGACGGUAUAGUCCGGAUGAUAGAAGCAAUAU